RNAcentral lists this long non-coding RNA (242 nucleotides) under Mytilus galloprovincialis (Mediterranean mussel). The record is from RNAcentral. Lineage: Eukaryota; Metazoa; Mollusca; Bivalvia; Mytilida; Mytilidae.
GUGUCUAUAGUAAAUUCUCAAAAAACAGAAAGUCCAAAUUCCCCCUGAAAAAUAUUAGGAUUAGUCCCAUCUGAGUGAGUGCUCAGGCAGUCAGUGUCCAAAUGCUUCUUGCCAUGUCAGCAAUAACACAGUAACUUGUAAAAGUAUAAAUGCAUACCUUAACUCAGAUUUCAAUGCAAAGCCAUAUAGGUUACAAUACACCAUUUGAUUUUAUGGGCGCAGCCAUUUUAUGAGCAUAACAU